AUGCAAUCUCGAUGUUUACUAAUUAUCUGUGUAUGAAUCUAGCCCUUCCUCGUCUGCUCUGAAUCUGCGUGUUUUGCUUGCUGCUUUGUAGGAGUCUCACCCUUUCUUCUGUCAAAUUUGGAACAACUUCAUGGCCUGAUCAAGAGAAAAACUCUGGUUACUCUGUUUUCACGAAUUACUAUCUAACUGUAAGUCUGUUCUAAACCCUAAGCCCCUGUAAAUCUGAUGUAAGAUUAAGCUAUUUAACUUUUUUUUUGCGAAAUAAGCUAUUUAACUUUAACUUAAAAGAAUAAUAUGCUCUCAGUUGCUUUAAUCCGUCAGACCUAAAAAAUAGAUAUACUUUGCAAGCUUGAUGUAUGAGUAUGUAACUGAAGGAGUAUGACUUUUCUUAUUCCAUUUAAAAAGACACAAGGUUUGUUAGCCCUUUGAAAUGGUUAUGACAUAAAGCAGGCUGGGGCAUAGAUUUGGGUGACAUAAAUUUAUGACUUGCUCAGAAAUGGCAAACAGAAUUCCCAGCCAUUGAUCAGUUGAGAGCUUAUGCAAGAACUAUUUUAGAAGAGUUUUUAUUUAGCAUGGCCAAACAAAUAGUUGGGAUGAAAACGACUUUCUCUGUUAAGACAAACAAGAAACAAAUGAGAAAAGCUUUAGAGAUAGCCAGGGGCGCAGCUCAGUCUUUUAUAGUUGCUAUAGAAAACAACCAUGAGUACUCCCUCCUCCUUUUUCUGGGCUUGGGACCAGCUAUGCAUUCAGAUGACAUAGGCGGAGUUAUCUACUCCUACUUACACACCUAGAAAAACAAGAGCACACUACAUUUUAGAAAUAAUUCUUUUAAAAAAAUUUCUUGGUGUUUUUUCUAUUAUUGUUUUGAUGCCAUUUUCACCUUUUGAAAAAGAUACUGAAAUAGUAGUGCAUAUACACACAUACCCUUUUCCUAUUUUUUUUGUGCUUUUACUUUUUGAAUUCCCUUUUUUUGUCUUUUGAUCUUGAAGGAACAACAUAUAUAAUACACACACGCAUACACAUCUUUUUCUAUUUUUUUGUUUUUCCAACUUUUUCAUAUCUUUUACAUACCUAGGAUUUAAGGAUGGGAAACAAAUACACACGGCAGCCGGGGCAAUGUUGCACAAAAUUUUGCUGACCUACAAAGUAAAAUUAGUAUGAGAAUUGUGAUCAUUGUAAACAAACAUAGCAUGCUAACAAAAAAAGCUAUUGCAACUCAGAGUACAAUAUGUUCUAGCCUCGUAUCCGCUUGCUACUAAUCUGAUCUUAGUGUUUGCUGAAGUAGCGUUCCUAGCUGGCUUCAUCGACGAGCUUAUAACUACAUUGUCUCUGAAGGGAUCGAGAAUUUUUCCGGUGAAUUGGAGUGGCUUACUUAACUGGCUAAACUGAGCUAAGUGGCCUAGCUGGAUGUGAUACACAGGUUUUUUAUUCCCAUCACGGAGUGAUUUCUGUACAGUACAACUGCAAGGGCGUCAAUUAAUUAACCAUCCUUGAAGCGCAAUGCCGGCUUAUGGUUCACCAUGCAUGGCAGGAAG
Molecule: long non-coding RNA, 1535 nt
Filed under: Triticum aestivum (bread wheat)
Lineage: Eukaryota; Viridiplantae; Streptophyta; Magnoliopsida; Poales; Poaceae
Description: long non-coding RNA (TAES_LNC007573)
Source: RNAcentral